GGGGAUGUAGCUUAGUGGUAAAAGUGAUUGUUUCCCAUACAUGUGGUCCUGGGUUUCAUCACCAGCAUCCCUU
Molecule: transfer RNA, 73 nt
Filed under: Fukomys damarensis (Damara mole-rat)
Lineage: Eukaryota; Metazoa; Chordata; Mammalia; Rodentia; Bathyergidae
Rfam family: tRNA
About the family: Transfer RNA (tRNA) molecules are approximately 80 nucleotides in length. Their secondary structure includes four short double-helical elements and three loops (D, anti-codon, and T loops).
Source: Rfam by way of RNAcentral